UUCUCAUGAGACGCUUCUUGA
RNAcentral lists this non-coding RNA (21 nucleotides) under Caenorhabditis elegans. The record is from RNAcentral. Lineage: Eukaryota; Metazoa; Nematoda; Chromadorea; Rhabditida; Rhabditidae.